Molecule: ribosomal RNA, 495 nt
Filed under: uncultured bacterium
Lineage: Bacteria
Description: partial 16S ribosomal RNA
Rfam family: Bacterial small subunit ribosomal RNA
Source: RNAcentral
GAUGAACGCUGGCGGCGUGCCUAAUACAUGCAAGUAGAACGCUGAAGGAGGAGCUUGCUCUUCUGGAUGAGUUGCGAACGGGUGAGUAACGCGUAGGUAACCUACCUGGUAGCGGGGGAUAACUAUUGGAAACGAUAGCUAAUACCGCAUGACAACAGUUAUUGCAUGAUAACUGUUUAAAAGGGGCAACUGCUCCACUACCAGAUGGACCUGCGUUGUAUUAGCUAGUUGGUGAGGUAACGGCUCACCAAGGCGACGAUACAUAGCCGACCUGAGAGGGUGAUCGGCCACACUGGGACUGAGACACGGCCCAGACUCCUACGGGAGGCAGCAGUAGGGAAUCUUCGGCAAUGGACGGAAGUCUGACCGAGCAACGCCGCGUGAGUGAAGAAGGUUUUCGGAUCGUAAAGCUCUGUUGUAAGAGAAGAACGAGUGUGAGAGUGGAAAGUUCACACUGUGACGGUAUCUUACCAGAAAGGGACGGCUAACUACGUG